UGGGGAAUUUUGGACAAUGGGCGAAAGCCUGAUCCAGCCAUCCCGCGUGUGCGAUGAAGGCCUUCGGGUUGUAAAGCACUUUUGGCAGGAAAGAAACGUCGCGGGUUAAUACCCCGCGAAACUGACGGUACCUGCAGAAUAAGCACCGGCUAACUACGUGCCAGCAGCCGCGGUAAUACGUAGGGUGCAAGCGUUAAUCGGAAUUACUGGGCGUAAAGCGUGCGCAGGCGGUUCGGAAAGAAAGAUGUGAAAUCCCAGAGCUUAACUUUGGAACUGCAUUUUUAACUACCGGGCUAGAGUGUGUCAGGGGGAGGUGGAAUUCCGCGUGUAGCAGUGAAAUGCGUAGAUAUGCGGAGGAACACCGAUGGCGAAGGCAGCCUCCUGGGAUAACACUGACGCUCAUGCACGAAAGCGUGGGGAGCAAACAGGAUUAGAUACCCUGGUAGUCCACGCCCUAAACGAUGUCAACUAGCUGUUGGGGCCUUCGGGCCUUGGUAGCGCAGCUAACGCGUGAAGUUGACCGCCUGGGGAGUACGGUCGCAAGAUUAAAACUUAAAGGAAUUGACGGGGGUCAUAGCUGUUUCCCU
RNAcentral lists this ribosomal RNA (587 nucleotides) under uncultured bacterium. RNAcentral's name for it is "partial 16S ribosomal RNA". It matches the Rfam family "Bacterial small subunit ribosomal RNA", at positions 355 to 1376 of the family's 1533-position model. The record is from RNAcentral.